RNAcentral lists this ribosomal RNA (506 nucleotides) under uncultured bacterium. Its description in RNAcentral is "bacterial SSU rRNA". It matches the Rfam family "Bacterial small subunit ribosomal RNA", at positions 24 to 518 of the family's 1533-position model. The record is from RNAcentral.
UCAGGAUGAACGCUAGCUACAGGCUUAACACAUGCAAGUCGAGGGGCAGCAUGAUCUUAGCUUGCUAAGAUUGAUGGCGACCGGCGCACGGGUGAGUAACGCGUAUCCAACCUUCCCCUUAGUAGGGCAUAGCCCGUAGAAAUGCGGAUUAAUACCCUAUGUUUUCCAAUGAGGACAUCUGAGCUGGAACAAAGAUUCAUCGCUAAGGGAUGGGGAUGCGUCUGAUUAGCUUGCCGGCGGGGUAACGGCCCACCGGGGCAACGAUCAGUAGGGGUUCUGAGAGGAAGGUCCCCCACAUUGGAACUGAGACACGGUCCAAACUCCUACGGGAGGCAGCAGUGAGGAAUAUUGGUCAAUGGUCGAGAGACUGAACCAGCCAAGUAGCGUGCCAGGAUGACGGCCCUAUGGGUUGUAAACUGCUUUUAUGCGGGGAUAAAGUGACGUACGUGUACGUUUUUGCAGGUACCGCAUGAAUAAGGACCGGCUAAUUCCGUGCCAGCCGCUGC